This 328-nucleotide ribosomal RNA is filed under the name uncultured eukaryote. Its description in RNAcentral is "partial 18S ribosomal RNA". It matches the Rfam family "Eukaryotic small subunit ribosomal RNA", at positions 1470 to 1796 of the family's 1831-position model. The record is from RNAcentral.
CCCUUAGAUGUUCUGGGCCGCACGCGCGCUACACUGACUACUUCAACGAGUUGUUUCCUUGAUCGAAAGGUCCGGGUAAUCUUUGAAAGGUAGUCGUGAUGGGGAUAGAUCCUUGCAAUUUUUGAUCUUCAACGAGGAAUUCCUAGUAAACGCAAGUCAUCAGCUUGCAUUGAUUACGUCCCUGCCCUUUGUACACACCGCCCGUCGCACCUACCGAUUGAAUGGUCCGGUGAAUCUUUAGGACUGUGGCUGAGGCCUUGCCUUGUGCGGGUCUGGCCGUGGGAAUUUAGUUAAACCUUACCAUUUAGAGGAAGGUGAAGUCGUAACA